This 157-nucleotide small nucleolar RNA is filed under the name Oryza sativa (Asian cultivated rice). RNAcentral's name for it is "Z113b small nucleolar RNA". It matches the Rfam family "Small nucleolar RNA snoR2/U65". Lineage: Eukaryota; Viridiplantae; Streptophyta; Magnoliopsida; Poales; Poaceae. The record is from RNAcentral.
GGCCUGAUGCCACGUCACCUGUAGAUACGGCUUUGACCGGUGAUGCUUUGAUUAGGCCAAAACAGAGUUGGUUUCCGACGUUUCACAUGUUUAUAUGAACCUGGGACUGCAUCUCCAUCGGUCUACAGAGCCGGUUUCUGUGUCUGUGAUUACAUUU